GGGGGUGAUCGGUUUCGACUCUGGUGAUCGAGACGAGAGAAGCGAGCCGUGGUCGCCGGAUCCACGCAAAAGAGCCGGCAACAACAACACAAAUGCCGACGACAACGUCGCACUCGCUGCCUAAGAAGUAGCGACGUCCUCCUGCUCCCCGCCUUGCGGAGCGGGUCGGGACGCCAUAUUGCAGGGCUCACCCGAACGGCUGCGUCAACCGGCCGAACGGGGACACUUCAGUUGACCACGGUGGUCGUACAGCGCUGGUGAUGAGCGACCACCCGGCAAUCCCGCACCAGCUGCGCUCGGAGAAGGCUCGUCAAGACACUCGAGGACGCGGGUUCGAUUCCCGCCACCUCCACUC
This 355-nucleotide transfer-messenger RNA is filed under the name Actinomycetota bacterium. It matches the Rfam family "transfer-messenger RNA". From Rfam's summary of the family: Bacterial tmRNA, also known as 10Sa RNA or SsrA, is named for its dual tRNA and mRNA-like properties. Its role is to liberate the mRNA from a stalled ribosome. Lineage: Bacteria; Bacillati; Actinomycetota. The record is from RNAcentral.